GACGAACGCUGGCGGCGUGCUUAACACAUGCAAGUCGAACGGAAAGGCCCUGCUUUUGUGGGGUGCUCGAGUGGCGAACGAGUGAGUAACACGUGAGUAACCUGCCCUUGACUUUGGGACAACUUCAGGAAACUGGGGCUAAUACCGGAUAGGAGCUCCUGCUGCAUGGUGGGGGUUGGAAAGUUUCGGCGGUUGGGGAUGGACUCGCGGCUUAUCAGCUUGUUGGUGGGGUAGUGGCUUACCAAGGCUUUGACGGGUAGCCGGCCUGAGAGGGUGACCGGCCACAUUGGGACUGAGAUACGGCCCAGACUCCUACGGGAGGCAGCAGUGGGGAAUAUUGCACAAUGGGCGGAAGCCUGAUGCAGCAACGCCGCGUGCGGGAUGACGGCCUUCGGGUUGUAAACCGCUUUCGCCCGUGACGAAGCGUGAGUGACGGUAAUGGGUAAAGAAGCACCGGCUAACUACGUG
RNAcentral lists this ribosomal RNA (468 nucleotides) under uncultured bacterium. RNAcentral's name for it is "partial 16S ribosomal RNA". It matches the Rfam family "Bacterial small subunit ribosomal RNA", at positions 28 to 507 of the family's 1533-position model. The record is from RNAcentral.